RNAcentral lists this ribosomal RNA (1453 nucleotides) under uncultured bacterium. RNAcentral describes it as "16S ribosomal RNA". It matches the Rfam family "Bacterial small subunit ribosomal RNA". The record is from RNAcentral.
AACGCUGGCGGCGUGCCUAACACAUGCAAGUCGAACGCGAAAGCCCGCAAGGGCAAGUAGAGUGGCGCACGGGUGAGUAACACGUGGGUAACCUACCUCGGAGUGGGGAAUAACCCCGCGAAAGCGGGGCUAAUACCGCAUAACAGAUGCUGACCUCGGUUGGCAUUUUGAACGGUCGCAAGACCGCUCGGAGAGGGGCCCGCGGCUGAUUAGCUAGUUGGUGGGGUAACGGCUCACCAAGGCGACGAUCAGUAGCCGUCCUGAGAGGGAGCACGGCCACACUGGAACUGAAACACGGUCCAGACUCCUACGGGAGGCAGCAGUGGGGAAUUUUUCGCAAUGGGGGAAACCCUGACGAAGCAACGCCGCGUGGAUGAUGAAGUUCCUUGGAACGUAAAGUCCUUUCGACGGGGAAGAAAGUCCGCAAGGAUCUGACGGUACCCGAAGAAGAAGCCCCGGCUAACUCCGUGCCAGCAGCCGCGGUAAUACGGGGGGGGCAAGCGUUGUUCGGAAUUAUUGGGCGUAAAGGGCGCGUAGGCGGUUUGGCAAGUCCGAUGUGAAAUCCUGUGGCUUAACUGCAGAUCGGCAUCGGAAACUGUCGGGCUGGAGUGUGGGAAGGGAGCGUGGAAUUCCCGGUGUAGCGGUGAAAUGCGUAGAUAUCGGGAGGAACACCAGUGGCGAAGGCGGCGCCCUGGACCACAACUGACGCUGAGUGCGCGAAAGCUAGGGGAGCAAACAGGAUUAGAUACCCUGGUAGUCCUAGCUGUAAACGAUGGUCACUGGGUGUGAGCCCUUUACUGGGCUCGUGCCGAAGCUAACGCAUUAAGUGACCCGCCUGGGGAGUACGGUCGCAAGUCUGAAACUCAAAGGAAUUGACGGGGGCCCGCACAAGCGGUGGAGCAUGUGGUUCAAUUCGACGCAACGCGAAGAACCUUACCUGGGCUCGAAAUGUAGGGGAAGUCAGCAGAGAUGUUGACGUCUGGCAACAGACCCUUAUAUAGGUGCUGCAUGGCUGUCGUCAGCUCGUGUCGUGAGAUGUUGGGUUAAGCCCCGCAACGAGCGCAACCCUUGUCCUUUGUUGCUCGGUCCGAUUCGUCGGACAAGCACCCUAAGGAGACUGCCGAUGACAAAUCGGAGGAAGGUGGGGACGACGUCAAGUCCUCAUGGCCUUUAUGUCCAGGGCUACACACGUGCUACAAUGGUCGGUACAAACCGUCGCAAACCCGCGAGGGGGAGCUAAUCGGAAAAACCCGGCCUCAGUUCGGAUUGCAGGCUGCAACUCGCCUGCAUGAAGCUGGAAUCGCUAGUAAUCGCGGAUCAGAACGCUGCGGUGAAUACGUUCCCGGGCCUUGUACACACCGCCCGUCACAUCACGAAAGCCGGCUGUACUAGAAGUCGUCGAGCCAACUCGCAAGAGGGGCAGACGCCCAAGGUAUGGCUGGUGAUUGGGGUG